RNAcentral lists this unclassified non-coding RNA (306 nucleotides) under plant metagenome. RNAcentral's name for it is "partial contains 5.8S ribosomal RNA, internal transcribed spacer 2, and large subunit ribosomal RNA". The stretch from base 1 to 105 matches the Rfam family "5.8S ribosomal RNA", at positions 50 to 154 of the family's 154-position model. The record is from RNAcentral.
GAAAUGCGAUAAGUAAUGUGAAUUGCAGAAUUCAGUGAAUCAUCGAAUCUUUGAACGCACAUUGCGCCCGCCAGUAUUCUGGCGGGCAUGCCUGUCCGAGCGUCAUUUCAACCAUCAAGCCCCCGGGCUUGUGUUGGGGACCUGCGGCUGCCCGCAGGCCCUGAAAACCAGUGGCGGGCUCGCUGUCACACCGAGCGUAGUAGCAAUCACCUCGCGCAGGGCGUGCUGCGGGUUCCGGCCGUUAAACAGCCUUACAAAACCCAAGGUUGACCUCGGAUCAGGUAGGAAGACCCGCUGAACUUAAGC